AGCAGCCGCGGUAAUUCCAGCUCCAAUAGCGUAUAUUAAAGUUGUUGCAGUUAAAAAGCUCGUAGUUGAACUUCGGGAUCAAUUAGUUGGUCAUGCCUUGGUAUGUACUGAUUUUAUUGGUUCUCACCUUCUAAAGAACUAUAAUGUCAUUUAUUUGAUGUUAUAGGGAAUUAGGACUGUUACCUUGAAAAAAUUAGAGUGUUUAAAGCAGGCUCACGCUUGAAUACAUUAGCAUGGAAUAAUGAAAUAGGACAUCGCAUUCUAUUUUGUUGGUUUCUAGGAUCGAUGUAAUGAUUAAUAGGGAUAGUUGGGGGCAUUAGUAUUCAAUUGUCAGAGGUGAAAUUCUUGGAUUUAUUGAAGACUAACUACUGCGAAAGCAUUUGCCAAGGAUGUUUUCAUUAAUCAAGAACGAAAGUUAGGGGAUCGAAGACGAUCAGAUACCGUCGUAGUCUUAACCAUAAACUAUGCCGACUAGGGAUCGGAUGAUGUUGAUUUUUAAUGUACU
Molecule: ribosomal RNA, 505 nt
Filed under: uncultured Glomus
Lineage: Eukaryota; Fungi; Glomeromycota; Glomeromycetes; Glomerales; Glomeraceae
Description: SSU rRNA
Rfam family: Eukaryotic small subunit ribosomal RNA
Source: RNAcentral